RNAcentral lists this long non-coding RNA (279 nucleotides) under Olea europaea (common olive). RNAcentral describes it as "long non-coding RNA (OEUR_LNC008473)". The record is from RNAcentral. Lineage: Eukaryota; Viridiplantae; Streptophyta; Magnoliopsida; Lamiales; Oleaceae.
GACACCAUUCUGUUUCACAAUGGAUUCACAAGAAGCUCAUGCUUUCAAAGAUAAUCACACAGAAUUUGCUUAUCUUAGAGCUCCUCUCCAUGUACCCAAAUAUGGUGAGUUAAUGCUACUGUGUAUGUGUUAUAUAUAUAUAUAUUUAGAUGUUGUAUUUGAUCCUUUUUUUUUUUUUAACUAUUACCGCUGUAGUAAUGUACUAGGUUUUGGGUAUGUUUUCUCUGUUUUAUCUGACAGUCAUCUUGCGUGGUAAAAGAUAGUCUUAUGAAUUUUCAU